Molecule: long non-coding RNA, 1037 nt
Organism: Puntigrus tetrazona (Sumatra barb)
Lineage: Eukaryota; Metazoa; Chordata; Actinopteri; Cypriniformes; Cyprinidae
Exons: 2
Source: RefSeq, a predicted model, not a curated record
AACAGACUUAAACAUAUUCGAUCGUUUAUUGAGCGGUCGUUCACACCUUCAAGCUUUCAGAGUUCUGGAGGACGUUUAAUCUACGGCUAAAAAAAAAUCUGUGAGACACUGUGAGUACAUUCACACGGCUUUAUGGCUGUGAACUGUGCGUCCAGGCCAAGGGAAGAUGAGCCGACGCCACCUGCCGAUCUAAAGCAUGUCAAACACAGAGACAAAAAGAUGUUUAACGCGCGAAAUCCACCCUGACUCAUCUGGAGAAGUGAUUCCUACUGCCUGAAGAAUCGCUAGAGAGCAGGUUGUCGCUUGCUGAAAUGUGCCUCUGUAGUUCCGGUCGAAGAACUGCGUUACCCAUCAUCCUCGGGCGAGACGAACCAAUCAGAGAAGUCACUGUUACCACGGAAACGGCAAUCAAGACCACAACAGUUCUUACGAUUUUAUUUUGUGAGAAGCAGGAGACCUCGAGGCAAGACACUUCUAGUACACUUCUAAGUGCUCUAUUUUUGCGCACUAAUACUAUAUUGUGCCUAAUAUACAAAAAAAUGAGUCUUUAAGAUAAACUUAAAGAACACCGAAGUGUACUCUGUACUAACUGAAUAUGAACUAAAAUGCAGUUUUAAUACACUAUCUUUGUAUUUUAAAAAAACAAUAUAACAGUACUACAAUUAGAGUAUGUGCUACAAGUAGUAACUAAAUACAGUUGAGUACACUUAGAUGAUCUUAAGUUUAUUUUAAGUACUAAAGAAUCAUUUUUAGUAAAAUAAGUACAAAAUGAAUGCGUAAACAAAUAGAGCACUUAUGAAAGUGUACUUGUUUUUCACCCUAGUAUGUGGACUAGUGGAAAUGAAACAAAUGCGCAGUGAUUUUAUUUCACUUUGUCUAUUUCACCUACAGUGCCCAUCUUUAAAAAAUCUUUUUAUCUCAAAAUAACAUUUUUCUCUUCACUUCAGCAGUGUUUACAUACACCAGCAUUUUAUUGAGGUUUUUACGAAGGUUUGUUGAUAUAUAAAUAACCUGAUUUUAUGUUUUAUCCCUAAAAA